GACGAACGCUGGCGGCGUGCUUAACACAUGCAAGUCGAACGGAAAGGCCCUGCUUUUGUGGGGUGCUCGAGUGGCGAACGGGUGAGUAACACGUGAGUACCCUGCCAUUGACUUUGGGAUAACUUCAGGAAACUGGGGCUAAUACCGGCUAGGAGCUCCUGCUGCAUGGUGGGGGUUGGAAAGUUUCGGCGGUUGGGGAUGGACUCGCGGCUUAUCAGCUUGUUGGUGGGGUAGUGGCUUACCAAGGCUUUGACGGGUAGCCGGCCUGAGAGGGUGACCGGCCACAUUGGGACUGAGAUACGGCCCAGACUCCUACGGGAGGCAGCAGUGGGGAAUAUUGCACAAUGGGCGGAAGCCUGAUGCAGCAACGCCGCGUGCGGGAUGACGGCCUUCGGGUUGUAUACCGCUUUCGCCUGUGACGAAGCGUGAGUGACGGUAAUGGGUAAAGAAGCACCGGCUAACUACGUG
This 468-nucleotide ribosomal RNA is filed under the name uncultured bacterium. Its description in RNAcentral is "partial 16S ribosomal RNA". It matches the Rfam family "Bacterial small subunit ribosomal RNA", at positions 28 to 507 of the family's 1533-position model. The record is from RNAcentral.